This is a non-coding RNA of Nowakowskiella sp. JEL0407, 76 nucleotides long. Lineage: Eukaryota; Fungi; Chytridiomycota; Chytridiomycetes; Cladochytriales; Nowakowskiellaceae. The record is from the annotation of a GenBank genome assembly.
AUACACAUGAGCUCGAUUCUGGAAGAGCAUUUGCCUGCUAAGUAAAAAAACCGGGUUCAAAUCCCGGGUGUGGACU